Molecule: ribosomal RNA, 421 nt
Filed under: Fusobacteriota bacterium
Lineage: Bacteria; Fusobacteriati; Fusobacteriota
Description: Fusobacteria bacterium partial 16S ribosomal RNA
Rfam family: Bacterial small subunit ribosomal RNA
Source: RNAcentral
UGGGGAAUAUUGCACAAUGGACGGAAGUUUGAUGCAGCGACGCCGCGUGGAGGGUGUAGGCCUUCGGGUUGUGAACUCCUUUUUCUCGCGAAAAAGGCACAGUUUUGGCUGUGUUGAUGGUAGUGGGGGAAGAAGCGCCGGCUAACUACGUGCCAGCAGCCGCGGUAAUACGUAGGGCGCGAGCGUUGUCCGGAUUUAUUGGGCGUAAAGAGCUCGUAGGUGGUUCGUCGCGUCUGUCGUGAAAGCCAGCAGCUUAACUGUUGGUCUGCGGUGGGUACGGGCGGGCUUGAGUGCGGUAGGGGUGACUGGAAUUCCUGGUGUAGCGGGGGAAUGCGCAGAUAUCAGGAGGAACACCGAUGGCGAAGGCAGGUCACUGGGCCGUUACUGACACUGAGGAGCGAAAGCGUGGGGAGCGAACAGG